RNAcentral lists this ribosomal RNA (500 nucleotides) under uncultured bacterium. Its description in RNAcentral is "partial 16S ribosomal RNA". It matches the Rfam family "Bacterial small subunit ribosomal RNA", at positions 30 to 523 of the family's 1533-position model. The record is from RNAcentral.
AUUGAACGCUGGCGGCAGGCCUAACACAUGCAAGUCGGGCGGAUGACGGGAGCUUGCUCCUUGAUUCAGCGGCGGACGGGUGAGUAAUGCCUAGGAAUCUGCCGGGUAGUGGGGGACAACGUUUCGAAAGGAACGCUAAUACCGCAUACGUCCUACGGGAGAAAGCAGGGGCCCUUGGGGCCUUGCGCUAUCAGAUGAGCCUAGGUCGGAUUAGCUAGUUGGUGGGGUAAUGGCUCACCAAGGCGACGAUCCGUAACUGGUCUGCGAGGAUGAUCAGUCACACUGGAACUGAGAAACGGUCCAUACUCCUACGGGAGGCAGCAGUGGGGAAUAUUGGACAAUGGGCGAAAGCCUGAUCCAGCCAUGCCGCGUGUGUGAAGAAGGUCUUCGGAUUGUAAAGCACUUUAAGUUGGGAGGAAGGGCAGUAAGUUAAUACCUUGCUGUUUUGACGUUACCGACAGAAUAAGCACCGGCUAACUCUGCGCCAGCCGCCGCAGUAA